Molecule: transfer RNA, 73 nt
Filed under: Stegodyphus mimosarum
Lineage: Eukaryota; Metazoa; Arthropoda; Arachnida; Araneae; Eresidae
Rfam family: tRNA
About the family: Transfer RNA (tRNA) molecules are approximately 80 nucleotides in length. Their secondary structure includes four short double-helical elements and three loops (D, anti-codon, and T loops).
Source: Rfam by way of RNAcentral
GCCUUCGUGGUGUAAUGGUGAACGCACUCGGCGCGUAUUCGAGAGGUCAGAGGUUCGAGUUCCGGCGAUGGCA